This 343-nucleotide ribosomal RNA is filed under the name uncultured bacterium. Its description in RNAcentral is "bacterial SSU rRNA". It matches the Rfam family "Bacterial small subunit ribosomal RNA", at positions 8 to 334 of the family's 1533-position model. The record is from RNAcentral.
AGGGUUUGAUUCUGGCUCAGGAUGAACGCUGGCGGCGUGCUUAACACAUGCAAGUCGAACGGGAAACCUUUUAAAGAAGCUUCGGCAGAUUUAGCUGGUUUCUAGUGGCGGACGGGUGAGUAACGCGUGGGUAACCUGCCUUGUACAGGGGGAUAACAGUCAGAAAUGACUGCUAAUACCGCAUAAGCGCACAGGACCGCAUGGUCCAGUGUGAAAAACUCCGGUGGUAUAAGAUGGACCCGCGUUGGAUUAGCUAGUUGGUGGGGUAACGGCCUACCAAGGCGACGAUCCAUAGCCGGCCUGAGAGGGUGAACGGCCACAUUGGGACUGAGACACGGCCCAG